This 321-nucleotide ribosomal RNA is filed under the name uncultured bacterium. Its description in RNAcentral is "bacterial SSU rRNA". It matches the Rfam family "Bacterial small subunit ribosomal RNA", at positions 8 to 352 of the family's 1533-position model. The record is from RNAcentral.
AGAGUUUGAUCCUGGCUCAGGAUGAACGCUUGCGGUGUGGAUAAGGCAUGCAAGUCGAACGAUCCCGAUUUAUCGGGAUAGUGGCGAACUGGUGAGGAACACGUGGGAAUCUGCCUUGAAGUCUGGGAUAACUCCGAGAAAUCGGAGCUAAUACCGGAUAGUUCCCGAAAGGGUAAAGAUUUAUUGCUUCAAGAUGAGCCCGCGUACUAUCAGCUUGUUGGUAGGGUAAAAGCCUACCAAGGCGAUGACGGUUAGGAGGCCCGAGAGGGUGUUCUCCCACAUUGGCACUGAGACACUGGCCAAACUCCUACGGGAGGCAGC